This 69-nucleotide transfer RNA is filed under the name Amynthas glaucus. RNAcentral describes it as "tRNA-Gln". The record is from RNAcentral. Lineage: Eukaryota; Metazoa; Annelida; Clitellata; Crassiclitellata; Megascolecidae.
UAUAGUAUAGUGUACGGUGCACACAGGCUUUUGAAUCCUGAAGACUAAGUUCAACUCCUUUCACUAUAA